This 253-nucleotide ribosomal RNA is filed under the name uncultured bacterium. RNAcentral's name for it is "partial 16S ribosomal RNA". It matches the Rfam family "Bacterial small subunit ribosomal RNA", at positions 524 to 776 of the family's 1533-position model. The record is from RNAcentral.
UACGUAGGGUGCGAGCGUUGUCCGGAAUUAUUGGGCGUAAAGAGCUCGUAGGUGGCGUGUCGCGUCUGCCGUGAAAGCCCAUGGCUUAACUGUGGGUCUGCGGUGGAUACGGGCAGGCUGGAGGCUGGUAGGGGCAAGCGGAAUUCCUGGUGUAGCGGUGAAAUGCGCAGAUAUCAGGAGGAACACCGGUGGCGAAGGCGGAUCUCUGGGCCGUAACUGACGCUGAGGAGCGAAAGCAUGGGGAGCGAACAGG